GACGAACGCUGGCGGCGUGCUUAACACAUGCAAGUCGAACGGAAAGGCCCUGCUUUUGUGGGGUUCUCGAGUGGCGAACGGGUGAGUAACACGUGAGUAACCUGCCCUUGACUUUCGGAUAACUUCACGAAACUGGGGCUAAUACCGGAUAUAAGCUCCUGCUGCAUGUUGGGGGUUGGAAAGUUUCGGCGGUUGGGGAUGGACUCGCGGCUUAUCAGCUUGUUGGUGGGGUAGUUGCUUACCAAGGCUUUGACGGGUAGCCGGCCUGAGAGGGGGACCGGCGACAUGGGGACUGAGGGACGGACCAGAAGCCUACGGGAGGCAGCAGGGGGGAGUAUUGCACAAUGGGCGGAAGCCUGAGGCAGAAACGUCGCGUGCGGGAUGACGGCCUUCGGGGUGUAAACAGCUUUCGCAUGUGACGAAGAGUGAGUGACGGUAAUGGGUAAAGAAGCACCGGCUAACUACGUG
RNAcentral lists this ribosomal RNA (468 nucleotides) under uncultured bacterium. RNAcentral describes it as "partial 16S ribosomal RNA". It matches the Rfam family "Bacterial small subunit ribosomal RNA", at positions 28 to 507 of the family's 1533-position model. The record is from RNAcentral.